Molecule: ribosomal RNA, 473 nt
Filed under: Mactra violacea
Lineage: Eukaryota; Metazoa; Mollusca; Bivalvia; Venerida; Mactridae
Description: partial 16S ribosomal RNA
Rfam family: Bacterial large subunit ribosomal RNA
Source: RNAcentral
GUCUCUUCGAUGUAAAAAUAUGGGGAGUCGGCCCUGCCCGGUGGUGUCGUGCUUAACGGUCGCAAUGAAUAGUUGUGCUAAGGUAGCGCAGUCAAUUGUCCUUUAAUUGGGGAAAGGAAUGAAAGGGUUGACGAGGGGGAGGCUGUCUUUGUAAUAUAAUUUGAAAUUUUCUUUUACGUGAAAAGACUUAAAUUUUAAAAUAAGAAGAGAAGACCCCGGCGAGCUUGUUAAGGGUUGUUAAAUGAAAAUGACCAUUGAGGUUUGUUGGGGCAACGCAAAGGGAAGAAAACUCCUUUGAACGUGAUAAGGAUCCACUAAGAGUGAAUAAAGCAAAAGCUACCGCGGGGAUAACAGCGCAAUUUUCUUAGAGAGUUCAUAUCGAAGAGAAAGUUUGCGACCUCGAUGUUGGAUUAAGAUUUCCUUUUGGUGCAGGAGUUAAAAAGGUGGGACUGUUCGUCCUUUAAAAUUUUACA